GGCCGCCUGGCGAAAUGGCAUCGCGUCUGACUACGAUAAUAGAACGAUAAAGAUCGUUAUCAGGAGAUUGCAGGUUCGACCCCUGCGGUGGUCA
This is a non-coding RNA of Collybiopsis luxurians FD-317 M1, 94 nucleotides long. The record is from the annotation of a GenBank genome assembly. NCBI's taxonomy places the organism in Eukaryota, Fungi, Basidiomycota, Agaricomycetes, Agaricales, Omphalotaceae.